This 2892-nucleotide ribosomal RNA is filed under the name Pseudomonas quebecensis. RNAcentral's name for it is "Pseudomonas sp. S1Bt42 23S ribosomal RNA". It matches the Rfam family "Bacterial large subunit ribosomal RNA". The record is from RNAcentral. Lineage: Bacteria; Pseudomonadati; Pseudomonadota; Gammaproteobacteria; Pseudomonadales; Pseudomonadaceae.
GGUCAAGUGAAGAAGCGCAUACGGUGGAUGCCUUGGCAGUCAGAGGCGAUGAAAGACGUGGUAGCCUGCGAAAAGCUUCGGGGAGUCGGCAAACAGACUUUGAUCCGGAGAUGUCUGAAUGGGGGAACCCAGCCAUCAUAAGAUGGUUAUCUUGUACUGAAUACAUAGGUGCAAGAGGCGAACCAGGGGAACUGAAACAUCUAAGUACCCUGAGGAAAAGAAAUCAACCGAGAUUCCCUUAGUAGUGGCGAGCGAACGGGGACUAGCCCUUAAGUGGCUUUGAGAUUAGCGGAACGCUCUGGAAAGUGCGGCCAUAGUGGGUGAUAGCCCUGUACGCGAAAAUCUCUUAGUCAUGAAAUCGAGUAGGACGGAGCACGAGAAACUUUGUCUGAAUAUGGGGGGACCAUCCUCCAAGGCUAAAUACUACUGACUGACCGAUAGUGAACUAGUACCGUGAGGGAAAGGCGAAAAGAACCCCGGAGAGGGGAGUGAAAUAGAUCCUGAAACCGUAUGCGUACAAGCAGUGGGAGCCCACUUUGUUGGGUGACUGCGUACCUUUUGUAUAAUGGGUCAGCGACUUAUUUUCAGUGGCGAGCUUAACCGAAUAGGGGAGGCGUAGCGAAAGCGAGUCUUAAUAGGGCGUCUAGUCGCUGGGAAUAGACCCGAAACCGGGCGAUCUAUCCAUGGGCAGGUUGAAGGUUGGGUAACACUAACUGGAGGACCGAACCGACUACCGUUGAAAAGUUAGCGGAUGACCUGUGGAUCGGAGUGAAAGGCUAAUCAAGCUCGGAGAUAGCUGGUUCUCCUCGAAAGCUAUUUAGGUAGCGCCUCAUGUAUCACUGUAGGGGGUAGAGCACUGUUUCGGCUAGGGGGUCAUCCCGACUUACCAAACCGAUGCAAACUCCGAAUACCUACAAGUGCCGAGCAUGGGAGACACACGGCGGGUGCUAACGUCCGUCGUGAAAAGGGAAACAACCCAGACCGUCAGCUAAGGUCCCAAAGUUAUGGUUAAGUGGGAAACGAUGUGGGAAGGCUUAGACAGCUAGGAGGUUGGCUUAGAAGCAGCCACCCUUUAAAGAAAGCGUAAUAGCUCACUAGUCGAGUCGGCCUGCGCGGAAGAUGUAACGGGGCUCAAACCAUACACCGAAGCUACGGGUAUCACGUAAGUGAUGCGGUAGAGGAGCGUUCUGUAAGCCUGUGAAGGUGAGUUGAGAAGCUUGCUGGAGGUAUCAGAAGUGCGAAUGCUGACAUGAGUAACGACAAUGGGUGUGAAAAACACCCACGCCGAAAGACCAAGGUUUCCUGCGCAACGUUAAUCGACGCAGGGUUAGUCGGUCCCUAAGGCGAGGCUGAAAAGCGUAGUCGAUGGAAAACAGGUUAAUAUUCCUGUACUUCUGGUUAUUGCGAUGGAGGGACGGAGAAGGCUAGGCCAGCUUGGCGUUGGUUGUCCAAGUUUAAGGUGGUAGGCUGAGAUCUUAGGUAAAUCCGGGAUCUUAAGGCCGAGAGCUGAUGACGAGUCAUCUUUUAGAUGACGAAGUGGUUGAUGCCAUGCUUCCAAGAAAAGCUUCUAAGCUUCAGGUAACCAGGAACCGUACCCCAAACCGACACAGGUGGUUGGGUAGAGAAUACCAAGGCGCUUGAGAGAACUCGGGUGAAGGAACUAGGCAAAAUGGCACCGUAACUUCGGGAGAAGGUGCGCCGGUGAGGGUGAAGGACUUGCUCCGUAAGCUCAUGCCGGUCGAAGAUACCAGGCCGCUGCGACUGUUUAUUAAAAACACAGCACUCUGCAAACACGAAAGUGGACGUAUAGGGUGUGACGCCUGCCCGGUGCCGGAAGGUUAAUUGAUGGGGUUAGCUAACGCGAAGCUCUUGAUCGAAGCCCCGGUAAACGGCGGCCGUAACUAUAACGGUCCUAAGGUAGCGAAAUUCCUUGUCGGGUAAGUUCCGACCUGCACGAAUGGCGUAACGAUGGCGGCGCUGUCUCCACCCGAGACUCAGUGAAAUUGAAAUCGCUGUGAAGAUGCAGUGUAUCCGCGGCUAGACGGAAAGACCCCGUGAACCUUUACUAUAGCUUUGCACUGGACUUUGAAUUUGCUUGUGUAGGAUAGGUGGGAGGCUUUGAAGCGUGGACGCCAGUCUGCGUGGAGCCAUCCUUGAAAUACCACCCUGGCAACUUUGAGGUUCUAACUCAGGUCCGUUAUCCGGAUCGAGGACAGUGUAUGGUGGGUAGUUUGACUGGGGCGGUCUCCUCCUAAAGAGUAACGGAGGAGUACGAAGGUGCGCUCAGACCGGUCGGAAAUCGGUCGUAGAGUAUAAAGGCAAAAGCGCGCUUGACUGCGAGACAGACACGUCGAGCAGGUACGAAAGUAGGUCUUAGUGAUCCGGUGGUUCUGUAUGGAAGGGCCAUCGCUCAACGGAUAAAAGGUACUCCGGGGAUAACAGGCUGAUACCGCCCAAGAGUUCAUAUCGACGGCGGUGUUUGGCACCUCGAUGUCGGCUCAUCACAUCCUGGGGCUGAAGCCGGUCCCAAGGGUAUGGCUGUUCGCCAUUUAAAGUGGUACGCGAGCUGGGUUUAGAACGUCGUGAGACAGUUCGGUCCCUAUCUGCCGUGGACGUUUGAGAUUUGAGAGGGGCUGCUCCUACGACGAGAGGACCGGAGUGGACGAACCUCUGGUGUUCCGGUUGUCACGCCAGUGGCAUUGCCGGGUAGCUAUGUUCGGAAUAGAUAACCGCUGAAAGCAUCUAAGCGGGAAACUAGCCUCAAGAUGAGAUCUCACUGGAACCUUGAGUUCCCUGAAGGGCCGUCGAAGACUACGACGUUGAUAGGUUGGGUGUGUAAGCGCUGUGAGGCGUUGAGCUAACCAAUACUAAUUGCCCGUGAGGCUUGACCAU